GACGAACGCUGGCGGCGUGCCUAAUACAUGCAAGUCGAACGCUUCUUUCCUCCCGAGUGCUUGCACUCAAUUGGAAAGAGGAGUGGCGGACGGGUGAGUAACCCGUGGGUAACCUACCCAUCAGAGGGGGGUAACACUUGGAAACAGGUGCUAAUACCGCAUAACAGUUUAUGCCGCAUGGCAUAAGAGUGAUAGGCGCUUUCGGGUGUCGCUGAGGGAUGGACCCGCGGUGCAUUAGCUAGUUGGUGAGGUAACGGCUCACCAAGGCCACGAUGCAUAGCCGACCUGAGAGGGUGAUCGGCCACACUGGGACUGAGACACGGCCCAGACUCCUACGGGAGGCAGCAGUAGGGAAUCUUCGGCAAUGGACGAAAGUCUGACCGAGCAACGCCGCGUGAGUGAAGAAGGUUUUCGGAUCGUAAAACUCUGUCGUUAGAGAAGAACAAGGACGUUAGUAACUGAACGUCCCCUGACGGUAUCUAACCAGAAAGCCACGGCUAACUACGUG
RNAcentral lists this ribosomal RNA (508 nucleotides) under uncultured bacterium. Its description in RNAcentral is "partial 16S ribosomal RNA". It matches the Rfam family "Bacterial small subunit ribosomal RNA", at positions 28 to 507 of the family's 1533-position model. The record is from RNAcentral.